GCCAGCAGCCAUAUCAUCCUGCAACUCACAACUGGCAACCCACUGAAGCUAAGCGGGUGUGAGCCUGGUCAGUACCUGGGAAAGACCUCCUGGGAAAAACUAUGGUUGCUGCUGGAA
Molecule: ribosomal RNA, 117 nt
Filed under: Lepisosteus oculatus (spotted gar)
Lineage: Eukaryota; Metazoa; Chordata; Actinopteri; Semionotiformes; Lepisosteidae
Source: RNAcentral